AAAUAAGAAGCAAUAUAUUGCAUUUAGUUUCGACCUAAAAGUUUGAUAUUUUUAUCCUUAUUUA
Molecule: transfer RNA, 64 nt
Filed under: Melyridae sp. GENSP01
Lineage: Eukaryota; Metazoa; Arthropoda; Insecta; Coleoptera; Melyridae
Description: tRNA-Arg
Source: RNAcentral